This is a small nucleolar RNA of Emys orbicularis (European pond turtle), 140 nucleotides long. RefSeq annotates it as small nucleolar RNA SNORA48. The transcript has a single exon. Lineage: Eukaryota; Metazoa; Chordata; Testudines; Emydidae. The record is from RefSeq and is a predicted model, not a curated record.
CUCCCCUGCUAAUGGGCAAAGAGGCGUCCAGUUGGUGGCGCGGCUCUUGAAUCUAGCAGGGGGAGAGCGACCAGCCCUCGUUCAUCCCAGCGCAGGAUCCCGGGCGGUGGCUGUCGCUGGUUCAUGCUGGGGGCACACGA